RNAcentral lists this ribosomal RNA (253 nucleotides) under uncultured bacterium. Its description in RNAcentral is "partial 16S ribosomal RNA". It matches the Rfam family "Bacterial small subunit ribosomal RNA", at positions 524 to 776 of the family's 1533-position model. The record is from RNAcentral.
UACGAAGGGUGCUAGCGUUGUUCGGAAUCACUGGGCGUAAAGGGCGCGUAGGCGGCUUUGUAAGUCGGGGGUGAAAGCCUGUGGCUCAACCACAGAAUUGCCUUCGAUACUGCAUGGCUUGAGACUGGAAGAGGUUAGUGGAACUGCGAGUGUAGAGGUGAAAUUCGUAGAUAUUCGCAAGAACACCAGUGGCGAAGGCGGCUGACUGGUCCGGUUCUGACGCUGAGGCGCGAAAGCGUGGGGAGCAAACAGG